This 500-nucleotide ribosomal RNA is filed under the name uncultured bacterium. Its description in RNAcentral is "bacterial SSU rRNA". It matches the Rfam family "Bacterial small subunit ribosomal RNA", at positions 32 to 507 of the family's 1533-position model. The record is from RNAcentral.
AAUCAACGCUGGCGGCGUGCCUAACACAUGCAAGUCGAACGCGAAAGCCCUUUCGGGGGUAAGUAGAGUGGCGUCCGGGUGAGUAACACGUAGGUAAUCUGCCUUCGGGUGGGGAAUAACCAGUCGAAAGAUUGGCUAAUACCGCAUAAUGCAGCGGCACCUAAUGGUGAUUAGUUGUUAAAGCGGGGGAUCGUAAGACCUCGCGCCUGAAGAGGAGCCUGCGGCAGAUUAGCUAGNGGUGAGGUAAUGGCUCACCAAGGCUUCGAUCUGUAGCUGGUCUGAGAGGACGGCCAGCCACACUGGCACUGACACACGGGCCAGACUCCUACGGGAGGCAGCAGUGGGGAAUUUUGGGCAAUGGGCGAAAAGCCUGACCCAGCAACGCCGCGUGAGGGAGGAAAUCCUUCGGGAUGUAAACCUCACAAGCAAGGGAAGAGAGCUCAGGGCCGAAUAAGCUUUGAGUCCGACGGUACCUUGCGUAAGCCACGGCUAACUACGUG